This is a non-coding RNA of Rattus norvegicus (Norway rat), 1939 nucleotides long. NCBI's taxonomy places the organism in Eukaryota, Metazoa, Chordata, Mammalia, Rodentia, Muridae. The record is from RefSeq and is a predicted model, not a curated record.
UGUGUGUGUAACAGCAUGAGCCUACCAACUUGUAUAAUGUUUUUAUCAGGUUUCUUCCUUCUGAGGAUCAGCUCAACCAGGGCCAGUGAGACGGCUCGGUGUGGAAGGGUACUUGGCAAACCUGAUGACAUGGGCGAUCCCAGGGUCCAUGUGGUGGAAACAGAGAACCUAAUCUUUCCAAAUACCUCCUUACUGAAUAUGUCCUUUUCUAGGCUGAACUCUCUUGGAUAACUGGCUUCUAGAAAACCCUCAGCAUGCACCACAACGUCUUGUUUCUGCAACAACUAAGACAAGUUUUCGUAGAGGAAUUUUUUUGAAGAAUAAUUGCUAAAAAAAACAAUCCCCAACUCUCUAACCUCCAUCAAUACUUUGAGCUAGAGACGUGGAAUAUUCUAGUUCCCCAGAGGAAGUGACAGUGAACUACAGUUGGUGUCCUCACAUAGAGAUCCAUUGUGACAGUCCCCAUGGCCCACACAGAUGAAUCAUUGAUUAAAACCAUGAGCAGCGAGGACUUCCUGAACUUAUUUUCUUCCCUUUUAGUCAUUUUUUUUUUAAUGUCUGGGAGCUAAAGUUACUUGCUGUGCAAUUUAAAACUAAAAAUAUACGCGCUACAGACUUUGCGUUGCAGCCUCUCCUGCUGAGAGAUCAUGUGUGGGUGCAGUUUGCAUGUCUGGACCGAUCACGGGGUUGUUCGCUGCUUGAGGAGAGCGUCUUACGUCAGAAUGUCUUACUUCAGAAAACUUGGCAGUCAUUGGAUGACUAGAGAACUGAGGUGGGCGUGGUGAUUCAUGGUAAGCACUUAGGAAGCUGAGACAGGAGGAUUGUCAUACGUUCAAGGUUAGCCUGUCUUACACAGAUAGAUGCUGCCUCAAACAACAGGCAAAACAAAAGAAGAAGUAAGGGGGAGGAGGAGGGAAAGGGAAGGAGAGGGGAAAGAGGAGGAGGACUAAGAAGAAUCCGCAGCAGCAACAGCCGCCAGGUUGGAGGGACACGUCUAGGAACUUGUCCGUCUUCAUUAUAGGCCUGUGCCACAGAAAACCAAGAGAAGAUGGUCCAGGACCUAGCAGUCAGCAGAUGCUUGGCAGUAGGAUGGGGCAGCCGAGCUGAAGACAAAGGAUUCCUUCUGCCUUCACCCAUGGGCUGUGCGAAGAAUGGCUAUUGUCAUUUCCCAUGAUGCCAAAGGACCUGACAUCCAGCACUUGAGAGCUGAGGAAGAAGAAUCUUGGGUUCAAGGACAACCUGAGAAAUGAAAUAAGGCUGGUCUCUAAAAAUAAAACAAAAUGAAACCUAACAAACAACCAAACCAACAAACCACAAGAGCAAACCCUGCUUUUAUCUAGUUAUGGCGGCUCUGACCUGUAAUCACAGCCCUAGGGAGGUGUUCAAGGUCACCCUUAAUUACUUUGGCAGUUGCAGGAUAGCCUGGGCUAUAUAAGACCUUAUCUAAAAAGAAUCAAAAGAACCAACCAAACAAGUUGUUAACUUUUUCAAGAGAGGGAAUAGGAAAUGUAGAGGGAGAAAGUAAGAAAGAAGGAGCAGAGCCCCAGGGGGUUCUGGGAAGGGUUCCUUGAGUCUGGGUUGGGGUCCUGCAUGAGCAAGGCAUGCAUUUGGGAAGAGAGGCUGGACUUCAGUGUUAGAGAGCAUAGAAGCACUUGGCAUAUGCUUGCAUAGGAGGAGAAGUCAGUACAGGUUAUUGAAUGUUAUAAUAUGCGGGGGAUUUCAAAUUGCAAGGGCAGGGGAGAUGGCUCAGUGGUUAAAAACAGUUGCUUCACAGUCUGACAUAUUUGACCCAUGAACCUACAUAAAAACCUUCAUCCAACAGUGGAAGUUGGCUCAGGGGCCACCUAGCCUGGAGUAUGCAGAAGCAACAAGAGAGACAGAGCCUGCUUCAAAACAAGGUGGGACGAGACAACUCUAGAAAAGUCCUCUGACUUCUAUA